Molecule: ribosomal RNA, 437 nt
Filed under: uncultured bacterium
Lineage: Bacteria
Description: bacterial SSU rRNA
Rfam family: Bacterial small subunit ribosomal RNA
Source: RNAcentral
GUACGGAAGGCAGCAGUAGGGAAUAUUGCACAAUGGGCGAAAGCCUGAUGCAGCAACGCCGCGUGCGCGAAGAAGGCCCUCGGGUCGUAAAGCGCUUUUCUGAGAGAUGAGUAAGGACAGUAUCUCAGGAAUAAGUCUCGGCUAACUACGUGCCAGCAGCCGCGGUAAAACGUAGGAGGCAAGCGUUAUCCGGAUUCACUGGGCGUAAAGCGCGUGCAGGCGGUUCGGUAAGUUGGGCGUGAAAUCUCCUGGCUUAACUAGGAGAGGUCGUUCAAUACUACCGGACUUGAGAGUGAUAGAGGAAGAUGGAAUUCCCGGUGUAGUGGUGAAAUGCGUAGAUAUCGGGAGGAACACCAGUGGCGAAAGCGAUCUUCUGGAUCAUUUCUGACGCUCAGACGCGAAAGCUAGGGUAGUAAACGGGAUUAGAUACCCCCGUA